GGCCUGUAUUGCGCUGUAAUGUUCUACGUUCUAUGUUAACAGCUACGUUCUGGAGGAUUUUAGGAAGCAAGAAGAGGCUGCUCUAUGACACCGAGGGACAUGCCACUACUAUUCCAGAGACUACCAUUAUUAUCAGACAGUAACUGGAUCAGAGGCCGCAACAAGGAUAUAUGGUUACGAACCAGGGGCUGUUGGCAUUUUUCAGUGUGGGUGCUAAAAGUUCUGCUGGUAGCUUUUCAUGCAAUGGAGAAUGGAAAGACUUAAAGGAGCCAAGGAUAACAAAGUGGAUUUAAUGUAAGGAAGAGAAAUGUCAAAGGGAUAAACUACCAGAAUUAAAAUAGCCAUGUCUCCAAGAGCUGAUGGUUUCCAUCUGAGAACACAAAUGAAGUUAAGAAACAAAGUGAAAAUCAAAAUCAAUUUUGUGGUAUGGAUUCAUAGCCAAGAAAUCCAAAGUAGACUUUAAAUCCCCAAAGAGGGGAGGAAAUGUGAGAAGACCUCAAAGGUGGAGUGGUUAUCUGGGAAAAUGCCACAUGGUUUCAGCUGUUUGGGUCACACAUCAGAUAAGGUAAUGGAUCAACAAUAACACUAUCAAGAAUGAAUCCUUCCAUGCAGGAUAUCUGGAAGAUUCUCUAGUGGUGAAGUGAUCCACAAAUCAGAACCAGAUCAACAGUCCUCAAGCAAGGGAGCUAUCAUUCUUCUGAGUCCUAAGAAGAUGCAUUCUAACAAAAGUGUGAAAACUCCAGUCUUCCUGCAUUCGUGGAGUCAGAGACUGGGAGAAGAUGGAUAGUGAGACCUUGUUGUUGUAUAUCCUCUUCCACAAUUCACCAGAUGUGUCCAAGGCAAAAUAAAGACAAAAACAAAGGAGGAUUGGUGACAAAUACCAUAAUGUGCCGUGAGUAGUCAUCUGAGAAAACACCAAAAGGAGCUUCACCAUUUUUAAGCAUCAUCAACUACUUACAGCAGUCCUAGAGCAGCGUGCAAGAAAGCAAUCCCUGAGCAGUACGAGAGGCGCAAGUCCUGAAGCAGCACAAAGGCACAGUUGUGAGGGGAAAUGAGUCCCAGUGCAGCGCGAGGGGAACCAGUCUUGGAGCAGUGCAAGGGGAAGUGAGUCCUGGAGCAGCACAACCUACUUUGGUGCAGCUGAGUGCUGGUAUGGGGGCAGACUGGAGGCUUGGAGCAGAGCUGGACAGGUAUUGGACUGGGGUCUGGUUCGAGUGGUCAGACCAUGUGCUGAGCUGCUACUAUUUGAAAUUCUUUACCAGACUGUAAUAUCAAUCCUUUAACUAUGUUAUAACUAUUUUAUUUCUAACUUAUUUUUGGACAGUGUAAGUAGCGCUAAUACUUUUCCUUUUAUUCCUCUUUUGUAUCCAAGAUUUGUACCCAGGUGCUUGUACCUAAGAUGGCACCAUU
Non-coding RNA from Chiloscyllium plagiosum (whitespotted bambooshark), 1410 nucleotides. The record is from RefSeq and is a predicted model, not a curated record. NCBI's taxonomy places the organism in Eukaryota, Metazoa, Chordata, Chondrichthyes, Orectolobiformes, Hemiscylliidae.